GACAGAGGGUGCAAACGUUGUUCGGAAUUACUGGGCGUAAAGGGCGCGUAGGCGGCCAACUAAGUCAGACGUGAAAUCCCCAGGCUCAACCUGGGAACUGCGUCUGAUACUGGAUGGCUUGAAUCCGGGAGAGGGAUGCAGAAUUCCAGGUGUAGCGGUGAAAUGCGUAGAUAUCUGGAGGAAUACCGGUGGCGAAGGCGGCAUCCUGGACCGGCAUUGACGCUGAGGAGCGAAAGCUAGGGGAGCAAACGGG
This 253-nucleotide ribosomal RNA is filed under the name uncultured bacterium. RNAcentral's name for it is "partial 16S ribosomal RNA". It matches the Rfam family "Bacterial small subunit ribosomal RNA", at positions 524 to 776 of the family's 1533-position model. The record is from RNAcentral.